This 226-nucleotide ribosomal RNA is filed under the name uncultured Actinomycetales bacterium. RNAcentral's name for it is "partial 16S ribosomal RNA". It matches the Rfam family "Bacterial small subunit ribosomal RNA", at positions 104 to 334 of the family's 1533-position model. Lineage: Bacteria; Bacillati; Actinomycetota; Actinomycetes; Actinomycetales. The record is from RNAcentral.
GGGUGAGUAACACGUGGGUGAUCUGCCCUGCACUUCGGGAUAAGCUUGGGAAACUGGGUCUAAUACCGGAUAGGAGCCAUCUUUAGUGUGGUGGUUGGAAAGUUUUUCGGUGUGGGAUGAGCUCGCGGCCUAUCAGCUUGUUGGUGGGGUAAUGGCCUACCAAGGCGGCGACGGGUAGCCGGCCUGAGAGGGUGUACGGCCACAUUGGGACUGAGAUACGGCCCAG